RNAcentral lists this unclassified non-coding RNA (168 nucleotides) under uncultured Nemania. Its description in RNAcentral is "sequence contains ITS1". The record is from RNAcentral. Lineage: Eukaryota; Fungi; Ascomycota; Sordariomycetes; Xylariales; Xylariaceae.
GAGAGUCUAAACAACUCCCAAACCCACUGUGAACAUACCCUACGUUGCCUCGGCAGGCGCCCGGCUCCGCGACCCCUCGGGGCUGCGGGGUGGCCCUGCCGGCGGCCCACGAAACUCUUGUCUAGCACUGAAUUCUGAGCCCGAGAGGGAUUAAAACAAAAUUAGUUA